GCAGCUCAGAAAAUGGAUGGACGGUGGUGUGUCGCCACCCUGCUAUUUCAGCCUCUUUUUUUUAUCUGCUAAGAUUAUCAAUGGCCAAAUUAGGAUUGUUUUCCAUUGGCCACCAUUUCGCAUAUUUACAAGCCGCCAAGGACGAUCAAUGAAGAGGAAGUCAACACCUGAGAUUGGAGGUGGCUCGGAUGAUUAGCCCCCUGUGACACAUGACCCUCGUGGGGAUAAGCAGCUCAGAAAAUGGAUGGAUGGAUGGAUUCUAAUUGUUUUACAUUUAAGAUAAGCGAUAUUAUUGAAAUCGUGCAUGUCUGCGCAGGCAUGUGCACAGAUGUUUGAAGGGACGGGUCCUCAGCCUCCUCCCGAAACAAAAAUCCGGAUC
This is a long non-coding RNA of Syngnathoides biaculeatus (alligator pipefish), 379 nucleotides long. RefSeq lists it as uncharacterized. The record is from RefSeq and is a predicted model, not a curated record. The transcript is spliced from 3 exons. NCBI's taxonomy places the organism in Eukaryota, Metazoa, Chordata, Actinopteri, Syngnathiformes, Syngnathidae.